AGGGAGCGGACAGAUGGGAGCUUGCUCCCUGAUGUUAGCGGCGGACGGGUGAGUAACACGUGGGUAACCUGCCUGUAAGACUGGGAUAACUCCGGGAAACCGGGGCUAAUACCGGAUGGUUGUUUGAACCGCAUGGUUCAAACAUAAAAGGUGGCUUCGGCUACCACUUACAGAUGGACCCGCGGCGCAUUAGCUAGUUGGUGAGGUAACGGCUCACCAAGGCAACGAUGCGUAGCCGACCUGAGAGGGUGAUCGGCCACACUGGGACUGAGACACGGCCCAGACUCCUACGGGAGGCAGCAGUAGGGAAUCUUCCGCAAUGGACGAAAGUCUGACGGAGCAACGCCGCGUGAGUGAUGAAGGUUUUCGGAUCGUAAAGCUCUGUUGUUAGGGAAAGACAAGUACCGUUCGAAUAGGGCGGUACCUUGACGGUACCUAACCAGAAAGCCACGGCUAACUACGUGCCAGCAGCCGCGGUAAUACGUAGGUGGCAAGCGUUGUCCGGAAUUAUUGGGCGUAAAGGGCUCGCAGGCGGUUUCUUAAGUCUGAUGUGAAAGCCCCCGGCUCAACCGGGGAGGGUCAUUGGAAACUGGGGAACUUGAGUGCAGAAGAGGAGAGUGGAAUUCCACGUGUAGCGGUGAAAUGCGUAGAGAUGUGGAGGAACACCAGUGGCGAAGGCGACUCUCUGGUCUGUAACUGACGCUGAGGAGCGAAAGCGUGGGGAGCGAACAGGAUUAGAUACCCUGGUAGUCCACGCCGUAAACGAUGAGUGCUAAGUGUUUAGGGGGUUUCCGCCCCUUAGUGCUGCAGCUAACGCAUUAAGCACUCCGCCUGGGGGAGUACGGUCGCAAGACUGAAACUCAAAGGAAUUGACGGGGGCCCGCACAAGCGGUGGAGCAUGUGGUUUAAUUCGAAGCAACGCGAAGAACCUUACCAGGUCUUGACAUCCUCUGACAAUCCUAGAAGAUAGGACGUCCCCUUCUGGGGCAGAAUGACAGGUGGGUGCAAGGGUUGUCCUCCGCUCCUGUCCUGGAGAUGAGUUGGGGUUAAUUCCCGCACCCACCGCACCCCUUGAUCUUUAUUUUCCGCCAUUCAUUUGGGGCCUCCUAAGGUGACUGCCCGUGGCCAACCCGCCCAAAAGGAGGGGGGGGAGGGGGAAAUCCUCCCACGCCCGCCUUUAAACCCGGGCCUCCCCCCCUGCCUCCCUUGAAGAAAAAAAAAAGGAAA
RNAcentral lists this ribosomal RNA (1227 nucleotides) under Bacillus subtilis. Its description in RNAcentral is "bacterial SSU rRNA". It matches the Rfam family "Bacterial small subunit ribosomal RNA", at positions 63 to 1253 of the family's 1533-position model. Lineage: Bacteria; Bacillati; Bacillota; Bacilli; Caryophanales; Bacillaceae. The record is from RNAcentral.